RNAcentral lists this ribosomal RNA (332 nucleotides) under uncultured Arenimonas sp. Its description in RNAcentral is "bacterial SSU rRNA". It matches the Rfam family "Bacterial small subunit ribosomal RNA", at positions 568 to 898 of the family's 1533-position model. The record is from RNAcentral. Lineage: Bacteria; Pseudomonadati; Pseudomonadota; Gammaproteobacteria; Lysobacterales; Lysobacteraceae.
UGCGUAGGCGGUUUGUUAAGUCUGCCGUGAAAGCCCCGGGCUCAACCUGGGAAUUGCGGUGGAUACUGGCAGGCUAGAGUACGGUAGAGGAUGGUGGAAUUCCCGGUGUAGCAGUGAAAUGCGUAGAGAUCGGGAGGAACAUCUAUGGCGAAGGCAGCCAUCUGGACCAGUACUGACGCUGAGGCACGAAAGCGUGGGGAGCAAACAGGAUUAGAUACCCUGGUAGUCCACGCCCUAAACGAUGCGAACUGGACGUUGGGCUCAAUUGAGAGCUCAGUGUCGAAGCUAACGCGUUAAGUUCGCCGCCUGGGGAGUACGGUCGCAAGACUGAA